This 253-nucleotide ribosomal RNA is filed under the name uncultured bacterium. RNAcentral's name for it is "partial 16S ribosomal RNA". It matches the Rfam family "Bacterial small subunit ribosomal RNA", at positions 524 to 776 of the family's 1533-position model. The record is from RNAcentral.
UACAGAGGUCCCAAGCGUUGUUCGGAUUCACUGGGCGUAAAGGGUGCGUAGGUGGUGAGGUAAGUCGGAUGUGAAAGCUCCGGGCUCAACCCGGAAAUGGCAUUGGAAACUGCCUUGCUAGAGGUUUUGAGGGGGGACUGGAAUGCUUGGUGUAGCAGUGAAAUGCGUAGAUAUCAAGCGGAACACCAGUGGCGAAGGCGAGUCCCUGGAAAACACCUGACACUGAGGCACGAAAGCUAGGGGAGCAAACAGG